This is a long non-coding RNA of Bos taurus (domestic cattle), 890 nucleotides long. NCBI's taxonomy places the organism in Eukaryota, Metazoa, Chordata, Mammalia, Artiodactyla, Bovidae. The record is from Ensembl.
ACUCCACCCCACGCCGACUUCAGAGCAAGCCCCUUCUGAAUGGCAGAGGGGAUAUGAGGGCCAGACAGGAUGGCAGGAGCUUCAGCAGCUGCUUUGGAUUCUGAGCUGAAAUGAGGAUGGAGGUCAAAGGCUCAACAUGGUGAAGAAAAAAUACAGAAGAAACUUAAAUUUCUGAUGAGAGAUUUCAUGGUGCUAUUAUCUCAGCUCUAGACUGUCUCCUGUAGACUUCUUUUAUGAGAGAAAAAUCAAACUUUACCUUGUUCAAGCCAUUUCUACUAAACAUACCAUACUUUUAAUAAAACUGGGAGUAUGAGAAUUAGUUCAAUAAAAUUCUCUUCAGUGAACACUUUUCUUCGCUUUGGAACAGGUACACAUAUAGAAAUGUAUCAGCCUUCUAGGUGGCACAGUGGUAAAGAACCCGCUCACCAGUGCAGGAGACAGAAGAGAUGGGGUUCAGUCCCUGGGUCGGGAAGAUCCCCUGGAGAAGGAAAUGGCAACCCGCUCCAGUAUUCUCACCUGGAAAAUUCCAUGGACGGAGGAGGCUGGUGGGCUAUAGUCCUUGGGGUUGAAAAAGAGUUGGACAGACUUAGCAACAAAACAAAAUAAAAACAAUAGAAAUGUAUGAAAGCUAAAUAUAAUGUGGACAAAGACUGUUGCCUGCUAUCAAGCUGUCAGUCACUGCAGCAGCCAGGACAGUGCACCCUAAGGGGAAUUCAGGAUUAAGAAAAACAGGAUAAUGACCCUAGAGAGUUGAUACAUAUCAAAGAAAAAAUUUCAAUGAACCCAGACUCUUGCAUUUUACUACACAUUGAAAAGCACUAAAAUCAUAAACUUGAGAUGUCUGUUUGUUGUGAUUAGCAGUAACCACUUGAUUUUUUUUUUUUUUAUAG